This 488-nucleotide ribosomal RNA is filed under the name uncultured bacterium. Its description in RNAcentral is "bacterial SSU rRNA". It matches the Rfam family "Bacterial small subunit ribosomal RNA", at positions 903 to 1397 of the family's 1533-position model. The record is from RNAcentral.
AAAUGAAUUGACGGGCACCCGCACAAGCGGUGGAGCAUGCUGUUUAAUUCGACACUACGCGAAAAACCUUACCUAGACUUGACAUCCCCGGCAAAGCUAUAGAAAUAUAGUGGAGGUUAUCCGGGUGACAGGUGGUGCAUGGUUGUCGUCAGCUCGUGUCGUGAGAUGUUUGGUUAAGUCCAAUAACGAGCGCAACCCUCGUCUUUAGUUGCUAACAUUUAGUUGAGAACUUUAAAGAGACUGCCAGUGCAAACUGGAGGAAGGUGGGGAUGACGUCAAAUCAUCAUGCCCCUUACGUCUAGGGCUACAGGCGUGCUACAAUGGCCGAUACAACGAGUUGCAACAUAGUGAUAUGAAGCUAAUCUCUGAAAGUCGGUCUCAGUCCGGAUUGGAGUCUGCAAUUCGACUCCAUGAAGUUGGAAUCGCUAGUAAUCCCGAAUCAGAAUGUCGGGGUGAAUACGUUCCCGGGUGUUGUACACACCGCCCGU